CAAACCAAAUCCUUAAAUCAAAACCCAUAAGCUCUCACCUCUCUCUACUUUCUCUCUCUAUUCACCCUUCAUUAAAGAAGCUUUGAAGUUUGAAGAAGAAGAGCAAAUCCUCCAAGGUUCUACUCAAAUUUCGUGGCUAUUCAUCUUUAAGGUUGUGAUUGUUAAAGAGUUUGUGGUCAAUUGCUAGGAAGACUUGGAUCUUUUUUCAAGUCAUUGGUGAAUCCUCAUGUCCGGGGAUGUUGUCAUGUUCCACUCUAUGUAUGAGACUUUAUUUUUUCUUUUAUCAUUGAGACAAUUUAUGUAAGCCUAUAAUGGCGUAUUGUUAUUGUAUUGGCUAUGUCUAAACGUUUAUACUCUUGUACAUGAUUUAAUGUGAUACAAAGUAUUAGACUAAAUUCCUAUGUAUUGGUUAUGUUGUCUAAACGAGAAGC
RNAcentral lists this long non-coding RNA (431 nucleotides) under Solanum lycopersicum (tomato). RNAcentral describes it as "partial TCONS_00065747". The record is from RNAcentral. Lineage: Eukaryota; Viridiplantae; Streptophyta; Magnoliopsida; Solanales; Solanaceae.